GAUGAACGCUGGCGGCGUGCUUAACACAUGCAAGUCGAACGGGAAACCUUUUAUUGAAGCUUCGGCAGAUUUAGCUGGUUUCUAGUGGCGGACGGGUGAGUAACGCGUGGGUAACCUGCCUUAUACAGGGGGAUAACAACCAGAAAUGGUUGCUAAUACCGCAUAAGCGCACAGGACCGCAUGGUCCGGUGUGAAAAACUCCGGUGGUAUAAGAUGGACCCGCGUUGGAUUAGCUAGUUGGCAGGGUAACGGCCUACCAAGGCGACGAUCCAUAGCCGGCCUGAGAAGGUGAACGGCCACAUUGGGACUGAGGCACGGCCCAGACUCCUACGGGAGGCAGCAGUGGGGAAUAUUGCACAAUGGGGGAAACCCUGAUGCAGCGACGCCGCGUGAAGGAAGAAGUAUCUCGGUAUGUAAACUUCUAUCAGCAGGGAAGAUAGUGACGGUAACUGACUAAGAAGCCCCGGCUAACUACGUG
This 478-nucleotide ribosomal RNA is filed under the name uncultured bacterium. RNAcentral describes it as "partial 16S ribosomal RNA". It matches the Rfam family "Bacterial small subunit ribosomal RNA", at positions 28 to 507 of the family's 1533-position model. The record is from RNAcentral.